RNAcentral lists this ribosomal RNA (555 nucleotides) under uncultured bacterium. RNAcentral describes it as "bacterial SSU rRNA". It matches the Rfam family "Bacterial small subunit ribosomal RNA", at positions 777 to 1327 of the family's 1533-position model. The record is from RNAcentral.
AAUAGAUACCCGGGUAGUCCACGCCGUAAACGAUGAGUGCUAAGUGUUAGGGGGUUUCCGCCCCUUAGUGCUGCAGCUAACGCAUUAAGCACUCCGCCUGGGGAGUACGGUCGCAAGACUGAAACUCAAAGGAAUUGACGGGGGCCCGCACAAGCGGUGGAGCAUGUGGUUUAAUUCGAAGCAACGCGAAGAACCUUACCAGGUCUUGACAUCCCAUUGACCACUAUGGAGACAUAGUUUUCCCUUCGGGGACAACGGUGACAGGUGGUGCAUGGUUGUCGUCAGCUCGUGUCGUGAGAUGUUGGGUUAAGUCCCGCAACGAGCGCAACCCUUGUUCUUAGUUGCCAUCAUUUAGUUGGGCACUCUAAGGAGACUGCCGGUGACAAACCGGAGGAAGGUGGGGAUGACGUCAAAUCAUCAUGCCCCUUAUGACCUGGGCUACACACGUGCUACAAUGGACGGUACAAACGGUUGCCAACCCGGCAGGGGGGAGCUAAAUCCGGAUAAAACCGUUCUCAGUUCGGAUUGUAGGCUGCAACUCGCCUACAUGAAGCC